Molecule: long non-coding RNA, 1540 nt
Organism: Eutrema salsugineum
Lineage: Eukaryota; Viridiplantae; Streptophyta; Magnoliopsida; Brassicales; Brassicaceae
Exons: 3
Source: RefSeq, a predicted model, not a curated record
UUCGAUACGCUUAUCAGAGCAUCUGGGACGAUAACGGAGUUUCCGCAGGUGAAAGUGUUUCGCGUGGCUUUCAUGUACUUGGCGUAAGUCGUGAGCAAGAAUGUUAUGGCAGUUACGUAUUGCAGAUUGCUCUGAGAGGAGGAAACAUGCUAUAUCGAUUCUUGUUGAGGAACGUGUGUUUAAGUCACCUUGAGUGUAUUGUGUAGAGGAGGAAGGAGAGUUUGGAAGGAUCUUGCACAUGAAAUUCUCAGCUGCUUGCUUGUAUGGUUCAAAGUUGCUGUCUUUAUUAAGUAAUGCUCGCUGCAAAAUAGUAAUAACAAGCUCUGCGAAUUAGUGAGUCAAAUAGUGUGAUCCUAAGCUAUAUGCUUAUCGACUUUUUUCUUUGAUAGCAGCGAGACACACCCGUGAGAGAAGAACAUAGGCACCAGCAUACUUAUUGUCCCAGCUGAAAAUGUCAGGCUGAUCUCCACCUCCUAAAGAUUGUAUGAAGUUUGCAUAAUAAGGGUUAUUGGUUGCUUUCAACAACCACGACGCUCCCCACAUCAGUUCGUCCUGUCAUCAUAAGUUCACAAUUAAUAUUUAGGACCCGAUUUAGUGAUUAAAGUGGUUGCAAAGUUGCAAUGAUUCAUUGUGAUUUGGAAAGAGAUGGAACAUAUGAAAUCAGACCUUGUAACCAGAGUAGGAGCAGUAGAAAGGACAGACGGAUGAAGAAAGGGAAUCACUGUAAGCGCCUCUGUACUGAAUUGCAAACUGCAUCACUUUCUUAGCUGUUGCCAGAAGCAAACGCGAAUACUUGGAAUCAACUUUCCUGAAAACCAUGGAAGCUGCAGCCAGAGCUGCUGCGGUUUCAGCUGCGACAUCAGAACCAGGGUUAGAAGAGGAAACAGAGUAGACUGUACGAGGUGUGUCCAUGUCUUCAGGCCGUUCCCAGCAUUUAUGAUCAACAUUAGGAUCUCCUACCCCAACAUAAAGCUUGCCCGGAGUGGCUCUUGCACAUUUCAGGAGAUAAUCCGUUGCCCAACGGAUGUUCACACGUGCGUUUUGAAGCUCAGGACCUAAUCGCUUGCCGUACUCAAGUGUGCUCCAUGAGAGCAUCGUGGUGGUAAACGCCAUUGGGAAAUUGAACUUGAUGUUGUCUCCUGCGUCGUAGUAUCCACCGGUUUCAUGGUUUUUGAGGGUGUACAUGAGCGGAGGAACCAUCGGAAAGGCCGGAGCUAGCCCUCCAGGAGAGUUGUUGGUCUCUAGGGAGACGACCGGAUCGCUGACCUUGGAAGAAGAGCAAUGACUUGGAGAGAGCUUCUCUGUAAUUUGGAUUGGCAUCAACAUUUCCCAUGAAAAGAGACGAGAAAAGGAAAACGAAGUAGAAAGGAGAAGUCAUUUUCCAAAGACGGAGAAGUUAAUUACUUUUUGAGUUUUGAGGUACGAGUCUAAGAUAAGAAGGUCCACAUAUAUAUACACAGAAAUGGGGGAGAGAGAGAGAUGCAGAGAUAGGAGAGAGAUUGAUCCGGCGCUGAUGGAAGCGAUAAAUAUGGCUUUUUGG